ACAUGGGAUGACACUGACCAGGUGAAAGAUGACAUGGGAUGACACUGACCAGGUGAAAGAUGACAUGGGAUGACACUGACCAGGUGAAAGAUGACAUGGGAUGACACUGACCAGGUGAAAGAUGACAUGGGAUGACACUGACCAGGUGAAAGAUGACAUGGGAUGACACUGACCAGGUGAAAGAUGACAUGGGAUGACACUGACCAGGUGAAAGAUGACAUGGGAUGACACUGACCAGGUGAAAGAUGACAUGGGAUGACACUGACCAGGUGAAAGAUGACAUGGGAUGACACUGACCAGGUGAAAGAUGACAUGGGAUGACACUGACCAGGUGAAAGAUGACAUGGGAUGACACUGACCAGGUGAAAGAUGACAUGGGAUGACACUGACCAGGUGAAAGAUGACAUGGGAUGACACUGACCAGGUGAAAGAUGACAUGGGAUGACACUGACCAGGUGAAAGAUGACAUGGGAUGACACUGACCAGGUGAAAGAUGACAUGGGAUGACACUGACCAGGUGAAAGAUGACAUGGGAUGACACUGACCAGGUGAAACAUGACAUGGGAUGACACUGACCAGGUGAAAGAUGACAUGGGAUGACACUGACCAGGUGAAACAUGACAUGGGAUGACACUGACCAGGUGAAACAUGACAUGGGAUGACACUGACCAGGUGAAACAUGACAUGGGAUGACACUGACCAGGUGAAACAUGACAUGGGAUGACACUGACCAGGUGAAAGAUGACAUGGGAUGACACUGACCAGGUGAAAGAUGACAUGGGAUGACACUGACCAGGUGAAACAUGAC
Long non-coding RNA from Oncorhynchus keta (chum salmon), 808 nucleotides. RefSeq lists it as uncharacterized. The record is from RefSeq and is a predicted model, not a curated record. NCBI's taxonomy places the organism in Eukaryota, Metazoa, Chordata, Actinopteri, Salmoniformes, Salmonidae. The transcript is spliced from 4 exons.